Molecule: unclassified non-coding RNA, 327 nt
Filed under: plant metagenome
Description: partial contains 5.8S ribosomal RNA, internal transcribed spacer 2, and large subunit ribosomal RNA
Rfam family: 5.8S ribosomal RNA (bases 1-105)
Source: RNAcentral
GAAAUGCGAUAAGUAAUGUGAAUUGCAGAAUUCAGUGAAUCAUCGAAUCUUUGAACGCACAUUGCGCCCGUUAGCAUUCUAGCGGGCAUGUCUGUCCGAGCGUCAUUUCAACCCUCAGGGCCCCCCGUUCCGGCGGGCGGACCUGGCGUUGGGGAUCGGCCCGCCCCGUGCGGCGCCGUCCCCCAAAUACAGUGGCGGUCCCGCCGCAGCCUCCCCUGCGUAGUAGUUUACAACCUCGCAUCGGAGCGCGGCGCGGCCACGCCGUAAAACCCCCGACUUUCUGAACGUUGACCUCGGAUCAGGUAGGAAUACCCGCUGAACUUAAGC